Non-coding RNA from Podarcis lilfordi (Lilford's wall lizard), 138 nucleotides. Lineage: Eukaryota; Metazoa; Chordata; Lepidosauria; Squamata; Lacertidae. The record is from the annotation of a GenBank genome assembly.
CCCUCCCACAAAGGCGUGCCUGUACUCUCCCAUGUGUUGGCACGUAAGAACUGGAGGCAGAUUAAUUGGGAUGGAGGCUAUUUUGUACAGGGCUGGCUACCACUCUGGGCUGUUCCUGGAUCCUCUGUUCCUACAGUU